This 202-nucleotide long non-coding RNA is filed under the name Dromaius novaehollandiae (emu). RNAcentral describes it as "lncRNA (ENSDNVG00000003665.1)". Lineage: Eukaryota; Metazoa; Chordata; Aves; Casuariiformes; Dromaiidae. The record is from RNAcentral.
CAGUGUCUUGAAGUGUAAAGCAGUGAACAGAAAGCUUCUGACAUCUACAAGCCAACUGAUAGCAGGCGUGAAAGCUGCUCUCUGGACCUCUGUGCUGUUCAAGGGAUGAUUUGAGCAUUGGAGUAAUCUUGAAAUUUAUGGAACGCAUUCUUAUGUCCCCUCUCUGAGAAUCCUGGGGUCAGAUGCUGCAGAGGAAAGUACC